RNAcentral lists this ribosomal RNA (627 nucleotides) under Salmonella enterica subsp. enterica serovar Kedougou. RNAcentral's name for it is "partial 23S ribosomal RNA". It matches the Rfam family "Bacterial large subunit ribosomal RNA", at positions 566 to 1190 of the family's 2925-position model. Lineage: Bacteria; Pseudomonadati; Pseudomonadota; Gammaproteobacteria; Enterobacterales; Enterobacteriaceae. The record is from RNAcentral.
GUACAAGCAGUGGGAGCACAGGUUUACCUGUGUGACUGCGUACCUUUUGUAUAAUGGGUCAGCGACUUAUAUUCUGUAGCAAGGUUAACCGCAUAGGGGAGCCGGAGGGAAACCGAGUCUUAAUUGGGCGUUAAGUUGCAGGGUAUAGACCCGAAACCCGGUGAUCUAGCCAUGGGCAGGUUGAAGGUUGGGUAACACUAACUGGAGGACCGAACCGACUAAUGUUGAAAAAUUAGCGGAUGACCUGUGGCUGGGGGUGAAAGGCCAAUCAAACCGGGAGAUAGCUGGUUCUCCCCGAAAGCUAUUUAGGUAGCGCCUCGUGAAUUCAUCUCCGGGGGUAGAGCACUGUUUCGGCUAGGGGGCCAUCCCGGCUUACCAACCCGAUGCAAACUGCGAAUACCGGAGAAUGUUAUCACGGGAGACACACGGCGGGUGCUAACGUCCGUCGUGAAGAGGGAAACAACCCAGACCGCCAGCUAAGGUCCCAAAGUCAUGGUUAAGUGGGAAACGAUGUGGGAAGGCCCAGACAGCCAGGAUGUUGGCUUAGAAGCAGCCAUCAUUUAAAGAAAGCGUAAUAGCUCACUGGUCGAGUCGGCCUGCGCGGAAGAUGUAACGGGGCUAAACCAU